Molecule: ribosomal RNA, 427 nt
Filed under: uncultured bacterium
Lineage: Bacteria
Description: bacterial SSU rRNA
Rfam family: Bacterial small subunit ribosomal RNA
Source: RNAcentral
UGGGGAAUUUUGGACAAUGGGCGCAAGCCUGAUCCAGCAAUGCCGCGUGCAGGAUGAAGGCCUUCGGGUUGUAAACUGCUUUUGUACGGAGCGAAAAGGUCUGCCCUAAUACGGUGGGCUCAUGACGGUACCGUAAGAAUAAGCACCGGCUAACUACGUGCCAGCAGCCGCGGUAACACGUAGGGUGCGAGCGUUAAUCGGAAUUACUGGGCGUAAAGCGUGCGCAGGCGGUUAUAUAAGACAGGUGUGAAAUCCCCGGGCUCAACCUGGGACCUGCAUUUGUGACUGUAUAGCUAGAGUACGGUAGAGAGGGAUGGAAUUCCGCGUGUAGCAGUGAAAUGCGUAGAUAUGCGGAGGAACACCGAUGGCGAAGGCAAUCCCCUGGACCUGUACUGACGCUCAUGCACGGAAGCGUGGGGAGCAAACA